AACGUAGGACGCAAGCGUUAUCCGGAGUUACUGGGCGUAAAGCGCGUGCAGGCGGUUGCUCAAGUCUGAUGUGAAAUCUCCUCGCUCAACGGGGAGCAGCCAUUGGAAACUGGGCAACUGGAGUCUGGCAGAGGUAGGCGGAAUUCCGGGUGGAGUGGUGAAAUGCGUAGAGAUCCGGAGGAACACCAGAGGCGAAGGCGGCCUACUGGGCCAGUACUGACGCUGAGCCGCGAAAGCCAGGGGAGCGAACGGG
This 253-nucleotide ribosomal RNA is filed under the name uncultured bacterium. RNAcentral's name for it is "partial 16S ribosomal RNA". It matches the Rfam family "Bacterial small subunit ribosomal RNA", at positions 524 to 776 of the family's 1533-position model. The record is from RNAcentral.